RNAcentral lists this ribosomal RNA (442 nucleotides) under uncultured bacterium. RNAcentral's name for it is "partial 16S ribosomal RNA". It matches the Rfam family "Bacterial small subunit ribosomal RNA", at positions 338 to 795 of the family's 1533-position model. The record is from RNAcentral.
CCUACGGGAGGCAGCAGUAGGGAAUCUUUCACAAUGGGCGAAAGCCUGAUGGAGCAACGCCGCGUGCAGGAUGAAGGCCUUCGGGUUGUAAACUGCUUUUAUAAGCGAGAAAUAUGAUGGUAACUUAUGAAUAAGGAUCGGCUAACUACGUGCCAGCAGCCGCGGUCAUACGUAGGAUCCGAGCAUUAUCCGGAGUGACUGGGUGUAAAGAGUUGCGUAGGUGGCCUAAUAAGUAGCUAGUGAAAUCUGGUGGCUCAACCAUUCAGACUAUUAGCUAAACUGUUAAGCUCGAGACCGUUAGGGGUAACUGGAAUUUCUAGUGUAGGAGUGAAAUCCGUAGAUAUUAGAAGGAACACCAAUAGCGUAGGCAGGUUGCUGGGACGGUUCUGACACUAAGGCACGAAAGCGUAGGGAGCAAACGGGAUUAGAUACCCCUGUAGUC